RNAcentral lists this transfer RNA (67 nucleotides) under Gesiella jameensis. RNAcentral describes it as "tRNA-Ala". The record is from RNAcentral. Lineage: Eukaryota; Metazoa; Annelida; Polychaeta; Phyllodocida; Polynoidae.
GUUAUUUUAGUUUAUAAAGAACUUUUGCUUUGCAAACAAAAUGAAGAUUUCAAACAUCUAAUUAACA